UACGGAGGGUGCAAGCGUUAUCCGGAUUUACUGGGUUUAAAGGGAACGCAGGCGGAUUGGUAAGUCAGUGGUGAAAUACCCGUGCUUAACAUGGGAACUGCCAUUGAUACUAUCAGUCUUGAAUGUUGUUGAGGUUUGCGGAAUGGGUCAUGUAGCGGUGAAAUGCAUAGAUAUGACCCGGAACACCUAUUGCGAAGGCAGCAGGCUAAACAAAUAUUGACGCUGAGGCUCGAAAGCGUGGGGAUCAAACAGG
This 253-nucleotide ribosomal RNA is filed under the name uncultured bacterium. RNAcentral describes it as "partial 16S ribosomal RNA". It matches the Rfam family "Bacterial small subunit ribosomal RNA", at positions 524 to 776 of the family's 1533-position model. The record is from RNAcentral.